GAUGAAGAACGUAGCGAAAUGCGAUAAGUAAUGUGAAUUGCAGAAUUCAGUGAAUCAUCGAAUCUUUGAACGCACCUUGCGCCCUUUGGACAUUCCGAAGGGCAUGCCUGUUUGAGUAUCAUGAACACCUCAACUCUCACGGCUUGUCCGUGAUGAGCUUGGACUUUGGGGGUCUUGCCGGCCUGUGGUCGGCUCCUCUCAAAUGGAUCAGCUUGCCAGUGUUUGGUGGCAUCACAGGUGUGAUAACUAUCUGCGCUUGUGGUUUUCCAUCAGAUAACCUUCAGUGAUAUGGAGGUUCGCUGGAGCUCACAAAUGUCUCUCCUUAGUGAGGACAGCUCUUUUAACGUUUGAUCUCAAAUCAGGUAGGACUACCCGCUGAACUUAAGCAUAUCACUCAGCGGAGGA
Molecule: unclassified non-coding RNA, 405 nt
Filed under: soil metagenome
Description: partial contains 5.8S ribosomal RNA, internal transcribed spacer 2, and large subunit ribosomal RNA
Rfam family: 5.8S ribosomal RNA (bases 1-121)
Source: RNAcentral